UGCAUCGUCCGGGAAUCGAACCUGGGCCGCCCGCGUGGCAGGCGAGCAUUCUUCCACUGAACCACCGAUGC
Molecule: transfer RNA, 71 nt
Filed under: Cordylochernes scorpioides
Lineage: Eukaryota; Metazoa; Arthropoda; Arachnida; Pseudoscorpiones; Chernetidae
Description: tRNA-Gly
Source: RNAcentral